This 288-nucleotide signal recognition particle RNA is filed under the name Callithrix jacchus (white-tufted-ear marmoset). RNAcentral's name for it is "Metazoan signal recognition particle RNA (ENSCJAG00000086128.1)". It matches the Rfam family "Metazoan signal recognition particle RNA". From Rfam's summary of the family: The signal recognition particle (SRP) is a universally conserved ribonucleoprotein. It is involved in the co-translational targeting of proteins to membranes. The record is from Rfam by way of RNAcentral. Lineage: Eukaryota; Metazoa; Chordata; Mammalia; Primates; Cebidae.
GCCAAGCACAUAGUUCCAGCUGCUUGGGAGGCUGAGGUGGGAGGAUCGCCUGAGCCCAGGAGUUCUGGGCUGUAUAGUGCACUAUUCUGAUCGGGUGUCCGCACUAAGUUCGGCAUCAAUAUGGUGACCUCCUGGGAGCAGGGGACCAACAGGUCAUCUAAGGAGGGGUGAACCGGCCCACGUAGGAAACGGAGCAGGUCGAAAUUCCACUGCUGAACAGUAGUAAGAUCGUGCCUGUGAAUAAGCAUUGGACUCCAACCUGGGCAACAUAGCCAGACCCCCUGUCUU